ACUCAAAUGAAUUGACGGGGACCCGCACAAGCAGUGGAGUAUGUGGUUUAAUUCGAAGCAACGCGAAGAACCUUACCAAGGCUUGACAUCACAGGGAAUGGGGUGGAAACAUCUCAGUCUUCGGACUCUGUGACAGGUGGUGCAUGGUUGUCGUCAGCUCGUGUCGUGAGAUGUUGGGUUAAGUCCCGCAACGAGCGCAACCCCUGUUUUUAGUUGCCAGCGAGUAAAGUCGGGCACUCUAGAGAGACUGCCGGUGACAAAUCGGAGGAAGGUGGGGACGACGUCAAAUCAUCAUGCCCCUUAUGUCUUGGGCUACACACGUACUACAAUGGCUGUUACAACAGGCAGCGAAGGAGCAAUCCGGAGCGAAUCCCCAAAAACAGUCUCAGUUCGGAUUGUGGGCUGCAACCCGCCCGCAUGAAGUCGGAAUUGCUAGUAAUUGCAGGUCAGCAUACUGCAGUGAAUACGUUCCCGGGUCUUGCACACACCGCCCGU
This 495-nucleotide ribosomal RNA is filed under the name uncultured bacterium. RNAcentral's name for it is "bacterial SSU rRNA". It matches the Rfam family "Bacterial small subunit ribosomal RNA", at positions 899 to 1397 of the family's 1533-position model. The record is from RNAcentral.